CAAAAACAUGUCUUUUUGAUUAUGAUUUAAGAUCUUACCUGCCCAAUGAUUAUUUUAAUGGCCGCAGUAUCUUGACUGUGCAAAGGUAGCAUAAUCAUUAGUUUUUUAAUUGAAAGCUGGAAUGAAUGGUUUGAUGAAAAAUUUACUGUCUCAGUAUGAUUGUUUUAUAAUUUUAUUUUUAAGUGAAAAAGCUUAAAUGUUUUAAAAAGACGAGAAGACCCUAUAGAGUUUAACAUAAGUACUUAAAAAGAAUUAUUAGAAUUAGUAUUAUUUUUGUAUUUUAUGUUUUAUUGGGGUGAUAUAAAAAUUUGUAAAACUUUUUAUUUAUUAAGUCAUUUAUUUAUGAUUAUUUGAUCUUUUAUUUUGGAUUAUAAGAACAAAUUACCUUAGGGAUAACAGCGUAAUUUUUUUGAAAAGUUCUUAUUAAUAGAAAAGGUUGCGACCUCGAUGUUGGAUUAAAAUUAAAUUUUGGUGCAAAAGCUAAAACUUUAGGUCUGUUCGACCUUUAAAAUUUUACAUGAUCU
RNAcentral lists this ribosomal RNA (524 nucleotides) under Chaerodes trachyscelides. Its description in RNAcentral is "partial 16S ribosomal RNA". It matches the Rfam family "Bacterial large subunit ribosomal RNA", at positions 1808 to 2606 of the family's 2925-position model. The record is from RNAcentral. Lineage: Eukaryota; Metazoa; Arthropoda; Insecta; Coleoptera; Tenebrionidae.